This 418-nucleotide ribosomal RNA is filed under the name uncultured Flavobacteriia bacterium. RNAcentral's name for it is "bacterial SSU rRNA". It matches the Rfam family "Bacterial small subunit ribosomal RNA", at positions 494 to 916 of the family's 1533-position model. Lineage: Bacteria; Pseudomonadati; Bacteroidota; Flavobacteriia. The record is from RNAcentral.
CGGCUAACUCCGUGCCAGCAGCCGCGGUAAUACGGAGGAUCCAAGCGUUAUCCGGAAUCAUUGGGUUUAAAGGGUCCGCAGGCGGUCAAUUAAGUCAGAGGUGAAAUCCUACAGCUUAACUGUAGAACUGCCUUUGAUACUGGUUGACUUGAGUUAUUGUGAAGUAGAUAGAAUGUGUAGUGUAGCGGUGAAAUGCAUAGAUAUUACACAGAAUACCGAUUGCGAAGGCAGUCUACUACCUAUAUACUGACGCUCAUGGACGAAAGCGUGGGGAGCGAACAGGAUUAGAUACCCUGGUAGUCCACGCCGUAAACGAUGGACACUAGUUGUUGGAUUUACAUUCAGUGACUAAGCGAAAGUGAUAAGUGUCCCACCUGGGGAGUACGAUCGCACGAUUGAAACUCAAAUGAAUUGACGG